This is a small nucleolar RNA of Beta vulgaris subsp. vulgaris (sugar beet), 128 nucleotides long. Lineage: Eukaryota; Viridiplantae; Streptophyta; Magnoliopsida; Caryophyllales; Amaranthaceae. The record is from Rfam.
GAGUAAGAUCAUCAAAUUAGAAUGAUGGAACCUUGCAUUGAAGGUUGGCAAUAUAAAUACAGGGUGAUUCUCCGUGCCUUUCGAACUCAUGCUUGUGUCGAUUGUGGCCUCGAACAAAUUACUACAUC